UGGGUUUAUCUGAGAGAAUUGUAGUUGUAAGGAGGAAGGAUGCGAGUCAUGUUCAAUUUACUCAUACAAAUAGACAAAAGGAUUUUGGGAUUAUUGGUUUGCAUAAAAGGCGAAGUUGGGUUUGAGAGUUAUUUAUGCUAGUACAUGUAGGUUAGAGAGGUGAAGCUCAUGGGCAGAAGUUAUGUUAGUUUUGUUUUUAGGGCUAUCAUCUUCUAGCUAGGGAUUUCAAUUGCAUUUUGAAUGUGGAUGAUAAGAAAGAAGCUAAAUCUUUUCGUGUGAAUUGGGAUAUUAGAAAAUUUUGAG
RNAcentral lists this long non-coding RNA (303 nucleotides) under Elaeis guineensis (African oil palm). Its description in RNAcentral is "long non-coding RNA (EGUI_LNC050188)". The record is from RNAcentral. Lineage: Eukaryota; Viridiplantae; Streptophyta; Magnoliopsida; Arecales; Arecaceae.